AAAAAGACAAACCCUGGGUUUCCGUGUCUAACUUUGACUGUCCGUCUUAUAUGAAAUUUUUUUAUAAUUCGUAUUUUUAUUGUUGUUAGAUGAUAAAAUAUGAUUAAUACUUUGUGCGUGACUUGUCUUUUUAAUUUUUUUCAUAAUUUUUUCAAAUAAGACUGACAGUCAAACGUUGGGCACGAAAACCAGGGUUUGUCUUUUU
MicroRNA precursor from Oryza sativa Japonica Group (Japanese rice), 205 nucleotides. It matches the Rfam family "MIR812 microRNA precursor family". Lineage: Eukaryota; Viridiplantae; Streptophyta; Magnoliopsida; Poales; Poaceae. The record is from Rfam.